RNAcentral lists this ribosomal RNA (397 nucleotides) under uncultured eukaryote. Its description in RNAcentral is "partial 18S ribosomal RNA". It matches the Rfam family "Eukaryotic small subunit ribosomal RNA", at positions 592 to 976 of the family's 1831-position model. The record is from RNAcentral.
CAAUAGCGUAUAUUAAAGUUGUUGCAGUUAAAAAGCUCGUAGUUGGAUUUCUGGCUGUGCGUGAUGUGUCCGCGUUCCAAAAGGGAUGUGUGCAUGCGUUUCGUCGGUCAACGUUUCUGGAUGUCCGCGGGGCUCUUGAUUGAGUGUUCGUCGGUUUUACGUCCAGAUCAUUUACUUUGAGAAAAUUAGAGUGUUCAAGGCAGGCAUUAGUUGCCGUGAAUAUAUUAGCAUGGAAUAAUAAGAUAGGACUUUGGUCGUAUUUUGUUGGUUUCUACAGCCGAAGUAAUGAUUGAUAGGGAUAGUUGGGGGUGCUAGUAUUCUGCGGCCAGAGGUGAAAUUCUGUGAUUCGCGGAGGACUGACUUAUGCGAAAGCAUUCACCAAGGAUGUCUUCUUUAA